Molecule: non-coding RNA, 27 nt
Filed under: Homo sapiens (human)
Lineage: Eukaryota; Metazoa; Chordata; Mammalia; Primates; Hominidae
Source: RNAcentral
UGGAUAGACGUGUAUCGGAAACUCGAG